GAUGAACGCUGGCGGUAUGCUUAACACGUGCAAGUCGAACGGACUCUUCGGAGUUAGUGGCGGACGGGUGAGUAACGCGUGAGAAUCUGGCUUUGGGUUCGGGACAACCACUGGAAACGGUGGCUAAUACCGGAUGUGCCGAGAGGUAAAAGAGAAAUUGCCUGAAGAUGAGCUCGCGUCUGAUUAGCUAGUUGGUGAGGUAAAGGCUCACCAAGGCAGCGAUCAGUAGCUGGUCUGAGAGGAUGACCAGCCACACUGGGACUGAGACACGGCCCAGACUCCUACGGGAGGCAGCAGUGGGGAAUUUUCCGCAAUGGGCGAAAGCCUGACGGAGCAAUACCGCGUGAGGGAAGAAGGCUCUUGGGUUGUAAACCUCUUUUCUUAGGGAAGAACAAAAUGACGGUACCUAAGGAAUCAGCAUCGGCUAACUCCGUG
This 435-nucleotide ribosomal RNA is filed under the name uncultured bacterium. Its description in RNAcentral is "partial 16S ribosomal RNA". It matches the Rfam family "Bacterial small subunit ribosomal RNA", at positions 28 to 507 of the family's 1533-position model. The record is from RNAcentral.